Long non-coding RNA from Mauremys reevesii (Reeves's turtle), 3195 nucleotides. RefSeq lists it as uncharacterized. The transcript is spliced from 4 exons. The record is from RefSeq and is a predicted model, not a curated record. Lineage: Eukaryota; Metazoa; Chordata; Testudines; Geoemydidae.
GAGCAGCGGCUGCCCGGCCAGGCAUGCGGGGGAGGGGUGGGGGCUCUGCCGCCUCCCCAGCAGCGGCCCGGGCCCGUGGCGAGCCGUGGGGCCAGCGCGCUCCCCAGGCCAGGCGUGUGGGGGUCUCGCUGCCGCCCGCCCCCCCGUACCUACUCAGCGCCGCCCCUCACGAGUCGCCGGACACGUCGCUCCCACGCACGCGCAGCUAACGCCGCUCGCUUCCACCGCCUACCAGCCAACCACCGAACAGCAGGGCUCAGGGUCAGGAGUUCUGCAGGUAUGAAGGGAGCAUCGCUUGAGGCCACCAUGCCAGAAGCCAGAGUGGUCUGCUGGGUGCUGGUGCAGUCUGCAGCAAGUAUGACAUGCAGAAGCGGCAGAAGUGGAGAGUUUUCCUGCAGCUGUCGCACCAGUGCCAAAUACACAGGUAAAAUAACCUCUCUAUUCCUACUGGAGAAGAUUUUUUAGUGAAAUAAAAGGACAAGGCACAUAUGACAUCUAAUAUGUGUAGUUCAGCUUCACCUUUGGUUGAGUGUGGUUUCAGAAGGAACACUGGUAAAUGUACAGAUUUAUUUAAAUGAAAAAUCAGAUAGCAUUUUAAGAAAAAAAUUAGGGUGCAGUCUGAGAAUAACCUUGUCUUUGUAGAAAAUCAUAUAUGGCAGUCCUGUCAAAGAUGCUUACAACUCACUCACCUUACAUGCUGACGUAAUAGCCAUAAGGAAAGCUAUAUUUGUCCAUGAAGACAACAGGGAACAAGAACCCAAAGAUUUGAAAGGAUGAUCCAUGAGUCCAAAAUGAAGUCGAAUGAUCAAUUUCAUGGACACUGGAGGGUUUUGUCUCAGACCACACAGUGGUAGAAAGGAAAUGGAGAGGUGGACGGUCCACACCACCCCUUAUACCUCUCGUCUGGGGCACAAGGAGUAGAAAAGUGCAGACGUGGACCAAUGGACACUUCUUGCAAUAAUCUUCCAGUCUCAAGUGCAUGGAGCCACUGUGUACCCAUAGAGACACCAGCACUCAAAGAACUUGAUGCUGUAUCAGCAGCACCAAUUGUAACUUGUACAGAGGGCUUAGCCAUUAACUGACUUGAGAUGAGAGAUUUAAAGUCCUUUCUAAAGUAUGGUGGACAUUUAUCCAGAAACUCCUCAGUCUUAUCCCAUGAAAAUAGUCAGUGAGAAAGAAGAGCCCGAUAAUUUGCUAAUGAAGCUGUACGCUCGAGGGCAAAUGACUUUUCAUGCCCAGGAGAUCCAGCUUCUUUGGUUCUUUAUUCUUAGGGAUACUUUUUAAGGGUUUUGAUCGGUCUAGAGACCCUAGAUCAAGAUGACAGUAGAAAUAGUCAAACCCAACCAAAGGGACCUGUUACCUUUUUUGGACCUUUCAGAAGUUGCUGGGGUCUGCCACAGUAACUGCACUGGUUCUAAAACGCCCUUGUUUAUGAGCAAAAGGAGUCUCAGGCAGGAAUGUAUUUGAAAUGUCCAACAAUUUAUGUCCCUUAUCUUGGACAGUCUGAGUCAGGACUUCAGGUACCUUUGCCAUUCGCUGAAUAAUUCCUGGUACAAUUUGUAAUCAUCAGGAGGUGAAGUCUGAGAUGGUAAAGCUGAAUCAUUCAAUGUACGUACUGGAAUAACAUCAACAGUCUGAUGCUGAGCAAUGUCCUCAAUGAGAAGCAAAGGUGGGGAGGAAGCAGGGGCCCUGACCUGCUGAAGUAUUUGCUGAUGCUGGAGCACAAAUGGUUCCUGAGAUGAACAAGAUCUGUUUCUGCAAGAAGAUGCCAAAAAGUAUCUGGUGGAGUGUGGAUAGUUACAAGGGGGCAUAUAAGGCCAAGAGCUUUGACCAUAUGGAUCUAAAGAACAUGGCCAGAAGGCUGGGUACCAGGUAUGCAAUUGGGCUUAACCUGCUUUUGUUUGCCUUUAAUCCUCAUCUGCCUCCCCAAUAUAUAUGGAUCAUAGCAUGGCAACCUUGGUAUGAAGGUGAAGCAUCCUCCCUCUCAGAAAAGGCCAACAGACAGUGCUGCUUCAUCUCCCUGUGGAGUGUCUGAUCCUACAGGAGUCCCAGGUUUCACGCCCAAAGAUCCUGAAGUGGCUCCCUUGGUGCUGUGCAUGUCAGCCACUCCUUUCUGCUGUGCCAAGAGCAGAACUGGUACCGAGGUCUGAGAUACAGUUGGUUCCAAGGGCAACGGCUUCUGAAACACCAACACUGAAACUUUCAGAGCCAUGGACUCCAGUGUCUGCAAUCUCAGCACCCAAAAGUACUGCACUGAGUAAGCCAGCCCCAAGUACUCCGGUCUUGGAGCUAACUGCGCCAGAGACAAAAGAGGAGGCGCCAAGGAGAGCACUGUCGUUGCUGAGGAAAGCCCUUUUCUCACUGCCUGAGAAUCAGACACCAGCACUUUCAAGAUCUUCGGGGCACACUCUUCAUGAAACCUGGAGAGAUUGGAGUUCAUUUUUGGAGCAGAUCUCUUUGAAGAACAAGAAUUGAGGGACCUUCUCCCUCUUCCUUUUUCAGCAGUUUUAAUAGGGGACUGACCCCUAAAGUCCUUCUGGGAACUGUGUUCACUACUGUCUAGGUAACUAAGCCCCCCUGAAGCCACAGCAGAGACACUUUUAGCUGAUAAUUGUCCUGUGCUCCCUUCAAGGUCUGCGCCAAGCUUCACUGAUUUCUCUAACAGAUAAAGUUUUAAGCCUAUUUUCUCUGGAUCUAGCAGCUCUUUGGAUAAGGACUUACAAUCCUUAAUUUUUUCCAUAACAUCUCCCUCAUGCAGGGAGUAAAGACAAUUAGAGUGAGUGUCAUUAAGAGGCUUAACAGUCCCACAUGACACAAAUAUUUAAAACCUGGGAAAUUCUGAGAAGACAUGAGGAAGGUUCCCUACCGGGGAAAAAGCAAAACCAAAACACACUAUUAAACUAAAAACCUACCAAAUAAACUAAACUACAAUAUAUCCUACCUACCACUAACUAAACUAUUUACAGAUAAAGUAAUGUGUGAGUGGACAAGAUGUAACACUGCCAGUUGGCUCUAACAGCCAGAAGUGGUGAAAGGAACUGAGGGUCCUUUGGUCAUGCCAUCCCUUUGUAUAACUCUAAGUGGGGUAGAGGCUUGAGGCUACACUGGGAACGGAUGAAACCAAUGAACAGUGCUGGCAAAAAUGUUCUGAUCUCACGCAUGAAGAGGUAUAUAGACACAGAAGAAAUUUAGACA